This 494-nucleotide ribosomal RNA is filed under the name uncultured bacterium. RNAcentral describes it as "partial 16S ribosomal RNA". It matches the Rfam family "Bacterial small subunit ribosomal RNA", at positions 28 to 507 of the family's 1533-position model. The record is from RNAcentral.
GACGAACGCUGGCGGCGUGCUUAACACAUGCAAGUCGAACGGUGAAGCGCCUUCCUUUUUGGUGGGUGUGGAUGAGUGGCGAACGGGUGAGUAACACGUGAGUAACCUGCCCCCUUCUUCUGGAUAACCGCAUGAAAGUGUGGCUAAUACGGGAUAUUCUGGGUCUGUCGCAUGAUGGGUCUGGGAAAGAUAUUGUUUCGGUGGGGGAUGGGCUCGCGGCCUAUCAGCUUGUUGGUGGGGUGAUGGCCUACCAAGGCGGUGACGGGUAGCCGGCCUGGGAGGGAGGCAGGUCAGACUGGGAAUGAGACACGGCCAAGACUGGAACGGGACGCAGCCGAGAGGAAUAUGGGACGAUGGGGGGAAGAAUGUUGCAGCGUCGGCGCGAGAGUGAUGCAGGCAUGCGGGGUGUGAGCUUCAUGCGCUAGUGAAGCAGGCCUGCCUCGUUUGUGGGGAGAUUGACGGUACCUGGAUAAGAAGCGCCGGCUAACUACGUG